Molecule: unclassified non-coding RNA, 86 nt
Filed under: Epilithonimonas zeae
Lineage: Bacteria; Pseudomonadati; Bacteroidota; Flavobacteriia; Flavobacteriales; Weeksellaceae
Description: Chryseobacterium zeae Flavo-1 RNA
Source: RNAcentral
AUGCAGCCCGACUUGAACGGAGCUCAUUUUUUGUGACUGGAAUUGGGUGACGGCAAAAAAUAGCGAGAGUGGAAGGCGGAUAAAGC